GGCUCGGUAGCUCAGUUGGUAGAGCAGAGGACUGAAAAUCCUUGUGUCGCUGGUUCGAUCCCGGCCCGAGCCA
This 73-nucleotide transfer RNA is filed under the name Verrucomicrobiales bacterium. RNAcentral describes it as "tRNA-Phe". It matches the Rfam family "tRNA". Rfam says of the family: Transfer RNA (tRNA) molecules are approximately 80 nucleotides in length. Their secondary structure includes four short double-helical elements and three loops (D, anti-codon, and T loops). Lineage: Bacteria; Pseudomonadati; Verrucomicrobiota; Verrucomicrobiia; Verrucomicrobiales. The record is from RNAcentral. RNAcentral also lists the same sequence under 1 other name.